Long non-coding RNA from Aethalodelphis obliquidens (Pacific white-sided dolphin), 316 nucleotides. RefSeq lists it as uncharacterized. The record is from RefSeq and is a predicted model, not a curated record. NCBI's taxonomy places the organism in Eukaryota, Metazoa, Chordata, Mammalia, Artiodactyla, Delphinidae. The transcript has 3 exons.
AUUACUCUAAUCUCAAUUUAUUUUACUUUAGAUCAUUGUGUGAUGAAAGCAGUUAUCCAAAAAGUUCUCCAGAUGGAAGGAGUGCCAAGUCAGAGUACCAGUGGAUAACUUCUCCAUCGUGAAGGAACCAUCCAAAGCUGCUAGACAGAAAAAGAGAACUCUAAUUUGGGGAAGUGAUCGAAAAGGAAAAGCUACGAUUAGAGCUUGGCUGCAAAGCAACCUGUAAGUAAUGGAAUGAAACACUCUGCUGGUAAAGAAUGUUAUGGUCCUGAACCUCUACCACCUGGUGUGUCUGGUUUCUGGCCGUGGCGUACUG